RNAcentral lists this ribosomal RNA (467 nucleotides) under uncultured bacterium. RNAcentral's name for it is "partial 16S ribosomal RNA". It matches the Rfam family "Bacterial small subunit ribosomal RNA", at positions 28 to 507 of the family's 1533-position model. The record is from RNAcentral.
GACGAACGCUGGCGGCGUGCUUAACACAUGCAAGUCGAACGGAAAGGCCUCUUUCGGGGGGUACUCGAGUGGCGAACGGGUGAGUAACACGUGAGUAACCUGCCCUUGACUUUGGGAUAACUUCAGGAAACUGGGGCUAAUACCGGAUAGGAGCUCCUGCUGCAUGGUGGGGGUUGGAAAGUUACGGCGGUUGGGGAUGGACUCGCGGCUUAUCAGCUUGUUGGUGGGGUAGUGGCUUACCAAGGCUUUGACGGGUAGCCGGCCUGAGAGGGUGACCGGCCACAUUGGGACUGAGAUACGGCCCAGACUCCUACGGGAGGCAGCAGUGGGGAAUAUUGCACAAUGGGUGGAAGCCUGAUGCAGCAACGCCGUGUGCGGGAUGACGGCCUUCGGGUUGUAAACCGCUUUCGCUCAUGACGAAGCUUUGUGUGACGGUAGUGGGUAAAGAAGCACCGGCUAACUACGUG